AGCUCGCCGCCUCCUUCCCCUUCUCCAGGCCUGUGGGUCACACCACCUUGAAGCGGUCAAGGUCAUGGCUCUGGCUUAGUUUCCUUUGGGUUUCUGAAGAACCAUCCCGACACUGGGGGGAGCCAUCUCCUCACGUUGCAGACGUAGCCUCUGGCUUCAGAAACAGUUUCUUUCUAGAGCUUUCCUUGCUCAAACCUCAGUGUUGGUGCUCACCCAGCGAGCAAGAAUCAGGCCUGACCCGCAAAACGGUCCCCAAGAGAUGCUCUCCUGCCGGCCGCAUGUGUUUUGGGCUCAGACAAGUACUUUCUCCUUCCCACUGCCCAGCCUCAGUGUGGAAGCCAGUCUCAGAAGCCACAGCAGCUCGCCCCUCUAAUGUCCCUUCAGCUCCUCCCUGGGCCUCCUCAGCCCUCAGGCUUCCUGCAGCAACCAUCAACACUCACGACCUACUGGUCAACAAGAAAGCAUUGAACACCAUUUACCUAAAAAAAGAAAAAAAAAGAGUAUAUGUAUUUUUGGUGCAAAUAAAAACGUGUGAACAGUAGAGGCUCUGUUGGAGUUUGGCGGGAAACAGGAAAUUAUAUGGUAAAAAAAAAAAAGGGGAAAUUACCCAUUUUUUUUUUCCCCCUCUUUGCACAAUUAUUUGGCUGUAGUAAAAGUGAAAGUAAAAGUUUAGGGCAAGGAAUGCAUGCCCACUGGAGGGGACGUGCUGGCGGAACAGGGACUGGGGUGUGUGGUGCGGUGGGAUUCUGAACAGCCCAGGGGAGAGCUGUGAUCUUUCUGGAUCCCAAAGUGGGAUGUACUGCGCAAGGGAGUGUCCAUCAAACUCGGGGCCAGAGCGGUCAUUUGUUGUUUUUCUCAGCGAGAAAGCACCCAGAGAGGAAUGCUUGCUUUGAGGUUCCUGGAAAGAGUAACAUAGAGGAAGAGCAGUUCCGAGAACUAAGAAGAUUCCAUUUGGCUCUCCCUGUGGCCCCAGUAAGGAAGAUGUUACCAGUUCCAUUCUGCAGUCGUGAAACUGGAAAACAAAACAGAACAAUGAAACGGAUGAUAGUCACGCCGUGGCCCCUUCUUCACCUGGGAGACCUAGAACCAGCACCUGCUAUAUACCGGACCUAACGCUACUUCUACCUCAAAACUGAACUGUUCCUUUGGGGCUAUUUGAAUGCUAACUACUGACCAGAUAUUUGGCCAUGUUAAGGAAUUAUUGUUUCUUUCUGUUUUUUGUUGUUGUUUGUUGUUUCUUCUCUCUCUCUCUCUCUCUUUUUUUUUUUUUUUUUUGGUAUGAUACUGAUAUUGUGAUAAUGUUAACAGUAUUUCAAUUUUGGAGCUUUGUCCUAAAAUAUGCACACAUGAAAUAUGAAAAGGUUUUGGAUUUGCUUCACAAUAGUUCAGUUUGGGGGGGGGGCGAUAGAUGAAACCAGAUUGGUUUUAGGACGAUAAUUGUUGAAGCUGGUUAUGAACAUAGAAGGGUUUAUUAUAUGAUUGCCUUCGGUUUUGCAUGUUUAAACAUUUUCCUAAUA
Molecule: long non-coding RNA, 1517 nt
Organism: Mustela erminea (ermine)
Lineage: Eukaryota; Metazoa; Chordata; Mammalia; Carnivora; Mustelidae
Exons: 4
Source: RefSeq, a predicted model, not a curated record